Molecule: ribosomal RNA, 655 nt
Filed under: uncultured archaeon
Lineage: Archaea
Description: bacterial SSU rRNA
Rfam family: Archaeal small subunit ribosomal RNA
Source: RNAcentral
GCGACCGAUCAGGUUGUUGGUGAGGUAAUGGCUCACCAAGCCUUUUACCGGUGCGGGCCGUGAGAGCGGGAGCCCGGAGAUGGGCACUGAGACAAGGGCCCAGGCCCUACGGGGCGCAGCAGUCGCGAAAACUUUGCAAUAAGCGAAAGCUUGACAGGGCUAUCCCGAGUGCCAUCCGCUGAGGAAGGCUUUUACCCAGUCUAGAACGCUGGGGGAAUAAGGAGAGGGCAAGUCUGGUGUCAGCCGCCGCGGUAAUACCAGCUCUCCGAGUGGUGUGGAUGUUUAUUGGGCCUAAAGCAUCCGUAGCUGGCUAGGUUAGUCCCUUGUUAAAUCCACCGAAUUAAUCGUUGGAUUGCGGGGGAUACUGCUUGGCUAGGGGACGAGAGAGGCAGACGGUAUUUCCGGGGUAGGGGUGAAAUCCUAUAAUCCCGGGAAGACCACCAGUGGCGAAGGCUGUCUGCUAGAACGCGCCCGACGGUGAGGGAUGAAAGCUGGGGGAGCGAACCGGAUUAGAUACCCGGGUAGUCCCAGCUGUAAACGAUGCAGGCUAGGUGUUUGGACGGCCACGUGCCGUUCUAGUGCCGCAGGGAAGCUGUUAAGCCUGCCGCCUGGGGAGUACGAUCGCAAGAUUGAAACUUAAAGGAAUUGGCGGGGG